Molecule: transfer RNA, 73 nt
Filed under: Nitrospira sp.
Lineage: Bacteria; Pseudomonadati; Nitrospirota; Nitrospiria; Nitrospirales; Nitrospiraceae
Also listed under: 1 other name
Description: tRNA-Ala
Rfam family: tRNA
About the family: Transfer RNA (tRNA) molecules are approximately 80 nucleotides in length. Their secondary structure includes four short double-helical elements and three loops (D, anti-codon, and T loops). Further hydrogen bonds mediate the characteristic L-shaped molecular structure. tRNAs have two regions of fundamental functional importance: the anti-codon, which is responsible for specific mRNA codon recognition, and the 3' end, to which the tRNAs corresponding amino acid is attached (by aminoacyl-tRNA synthetases). tRNAs cope with the degeneracy of the genetic code in two manners: having more than one tRNA (with a specific anti-codon) for a particular amino acid; and 'wobble' base-pairing, i.e. permitting non-standard base-pairing at the 3rd anti-codon position.
Source: RNAcentral
GGGGGAUUAGCUCAGCUGGGAGAGCGCCGGCUUUGCAAGCCGGAUGUCACCGGUUCGAGCCCGGUAUCCUCCA